GCCGAGAUGGCGGAAUUGGCAGACGCGGUAGACUCAAAAUCUACUGAGGGUGAAACCUCGUGUGGGUUCAAGUCCCACUCUCGGCA
RNAcentral lists this transfer RNA (86 nucleotides) under Marinitoga piezophila KA3. It matches the Rfam family "tRNA". From Rfam's summary of the family: Transfer RNA (tRNA) molecules are approximately 80 nucleotides in length. The record is from Rfam by way of RNAcentral. Lineage: Bacteria; Thermotogati; Thermotogota; Thermotogae; Petrotogales; Petrotogaceae.